AAAAAAGCCUAUAGUCCGGUUAUCUAGGUGACGCAUAAGUAUUGAUCCUAUAAACAUUGUAACUAGAUGAUGUUAAGCAUUAGAACAUCCUAUUGGCAUGAUUUCUAGAUAAUUGAAAGCAUAAAAAGCUUAUAGGCAUGCUUUCUAGAUGAUUAAAGCAUAAAAGAUCCUAUAGAUAUGAUUUCUACCCAUUGACUUAUGCAAGCAAUAUAAACACAUCCCACACCCUUUACUAAUAUAUUCCCCGAAUUUUAUGACAUAGUUAUUACAAAACUGGAAAGCAAUAGGCUAAAAUAAGUACAUCAAAACUAAAUCCAUACCCGAGAUGGCUCAAUGAAACCUUCCACAUCCAAAACAUAUGUUUCACCAAAUCUGGAUUCCAGAUUCCAAGGCCUUCUCUUAGAGUGUUUCAAAGUUCCAAGGGUCUUCAGGAACCCAGGCAAUGCUUACACUCUAAAGAUUGAAUGUUGUAACAAAGUAGUGCAAUGUGUGGAAUUACCAGCCCUUAGGCAUCCAAGUUCAUAGGGAACUCUAAGGUCCCAAAGCAUGACUUACCAAAAGGGGAAAGAACUUAAAGAACUAAGAAUAAGUGUAAACUGAGGGGACUGGAGGAAACCAAAGCAAAGGGUGGUCAUACCCAGCCAUGGGUAAAACCGGCACACCCCUGACCUUCCACUUGGUUUUAAACAGAUAAAGAGCAGACUUUAAAACUCAGACAGGGGCCUGGGUGGUGAUUAGGACACCUCCAAAGCCUAGUCAAGGCUCAAAACAUUACGGGGAGAAGGGAAUGGGACUAAUUUGAGUAAAGGUCCAAAAGGACCUGGUCCCAGGUCAUGGAUAGCAAUGGGAUGCUACCCUAACCUAGAACUGUACUCACACAUAAAGGGGUCAGGGGGAAGGGGUUCACAUGGAAAAACCUCAAGUAACAGAACUUAAAGGUGCAGAAACCUACUCACACAUAAAGGGGUCAGGGGGAAAGGGUUCACAUGGAAAAACCUCAAGUAACAGAACUUAAAGAUGCAGAAACAUGAAGAAUGAACAUAACAGACUAAAACACAAUUAUAUAGUGCAAGAAAACUGCACAUAUAGUGAGGGAAUGCAAAAAGGAUAAUUAAACACAUAGUUGUAGAGAGUGUUUAACUUAAAGGGACAUACCAAUUGCAAUAUUCAAAUAACAGAACAAACAAAGCAAGAAAAUAGCCAGGAAAUCUUUAGCAAACACUUGAGGAAAGUAAGAGAGAUUCCAAAGUCUAGCCUUGGCUGUCAACUAGCUAGUCAGAACAAUAGCACAAGUAAUAGUAAAGAAGAGAGCUUUGAGUGUGUGUGUGUUUUUGAACUUAAUUGUUCGUGUUUUAAAGAAAAGGAAUAGGGUAUUUAUAGUUGAAAACAUGCAGUAAACAAGGCAAGAAACAGUUCAGUACCAAUCAUAAUCGAUCAGGAGAAGGGAACCCCCUUAAUUAAGGAGUUCGAAUUUGAAUAGGAAGGGUAGAGUUUUUAUUUAAUGAAAGAAAAUCAAGAAUACAUUGUUAGUAAAGGGUAAAUACAUAAGAGAAGUUUAAGAAUACAUGAUUUAGAUAAAUAAGGUAAGAA
This 1590-nucleotide long non-coding RNA is filed under the name Nicotiana benthamiana. Its description in RNAcentral is "long non-coding RNA (NBEN_LNC022264)". The record is from RNAcentral. Lineage: Eukaryota; Viridiplantae; Streptophyta; Magnoliopsida; Solanales; Solanaceae.